Tripterygium wilfordii is the source of this 1251-nucleotide long non-coding RNA. RefSeq lists it as uncharacterized. The record is from RefSeq and is a predicted model, not a curated record. The transcript is spliced from 2 exons. Lineage: Eukaryota; Viridiplantae; Streptophyta; Magnoliopsida; Celastrales; Celastraceae.
CGUAGAUAGAGGAGACUAGGAAGAGAGAAAGAGAGAGUGCAUGGAAUGGAUGGUGAUGGUGGCGUGGUCAUUUCUGGAGGCAGGCAGCUAUAUAUGUAUUUGUCUUUUUUAUUCAACGUUAGUUAUUAGGGUUUUGGAAUUUAAUAUAUAAAAGCCCUUCCAGUCCACUCCUCCCCAACUACAUCAUCAUCAUUCCAUUCAUCAUUUCACAAUCACACGCCCCCUUGAUCUCUCUCUCUCUCUUGCAGAGGGUCAGAGAGAGAGACAUGAGAGCCCCCCUUGAAGAUAGGCGAUCGAUACUCUUGGGGGAUUUGAACAGAUCUAUUAAGAAACUCAACCCCCAAUAUGCAGUGAUGAUCCAGAUGGAUGAAGAGAGCUUCUGUUUUGAGGGGAAUGUUGUCUGGCUCGAGGACACUUGAUUUCUUCAUCAUUCGCAGCCGAUUCAGUUCUAUGAUGGGUUAUUAAUUGUCGUCGGACCAGGCUUCAUUCCCCCCAAUUAUUUGCUCAUCCCGGAUCCAGGAGAGAGAGAGAGAGAUAGAUCCAUCGAUGUGCAUGAAGAGGACAACAGUUGGAGUUCUUGAUGCUACUAAGUUAACCACUAGACACAGUGAAGGUGGAAGUGGAAGUAGGUAAUAUUUGUAAAUAGACUAUAGGUACUGGCUACAUGCGCAGCUGGUAAUACAACUCACUGUAGAGAAUUCAAAUAGGUUUUGAUGUAUGUGAUUCUUCAUUGAGAUUUGAGACCCACUUGUCGAGUUUGUUGCAUUAAAAAUACACUCUUCCUAACUUUCUUCUCGACCUUUUGUAUAAUAUUGACCACGAAGAGUAGUUUCACUUGUUUUUUGUUUGGAAAGAGCACCGUCCUUCUCUAGUUGCCAUGCCACCUGUUUAAGGAUUGAGAUCCACCACUAAAGGAAGAAUCAAAACAUGAUCAGGCAUAUGCAUGGUAAUUUGAAUUAUCAUGUAAGAUUUUGCUAUGUUUGUGCUUCUUUUGUGCAGUGUAUGUCGGAGUUGAACAAGAAGUACUCUCAUAUAUGCAGGUGAAACAAGAUUUGACUUUGUUCUACAUUUCAUCAAAGCUGGUUUGGAAUCUGGGACGAAUCGAAUUAAAAGCCAGACUACUACUACUCUCUUUGUUCAUGUAAUUAAUCACUAAUCCUUGUAUAUGUACAUUGCUACAAGUCAUAUGUAUAUGUCUAGCUCAUUGUUGAAUCAUUCAAUUUAAUUCAGCAUUUUAGUCCACGUUGAAAA